GGCCUACACAUGCAAGNNNNGGGGUAACAGGAGCAGCUUGCUGCUUGCUGACGACCGGCGCACGGGUGCGUAACGCGUAUGCAACCUGCCUCAUACAUUGGGAUAGCCCGGAGAAAUCCGGAUUAAUACCAAAUAAUAAUUACAUAUCGCAUGGUAUGUAAUUUAAAGCUUCGGUGGUAUGAGAUGGGCAUGCGUGACAUUAGGUAGUUGGUGGGGUAACGGCCCACCAAGCCCACGAUGUCUAGGGGUUCUGAGAGGAAGGUCCCCCACACUGGUACUGAGACACGGACCAGACUCCUACGGGAGGCAGCAGUGAGGAAUAUUGGGCAAUAGGCGAAAGCCUGACCCAGCCAUGUCGCGUGCAGGAAGACGGUUCUACGAAUUGUAAACUGCUUUUCUAUGGGGAGAAACACAGGGACGUGUCCCUGUCUGCCUGUACCAUAGGAAUAAGCAUCGGCUAACUCCGUGCCAGCAGCCGCGGUAAUACGGAGGAUGCGAGCGUUAUCCGGAUUCAUUGGGUUUAAAGGGUGCGUAGGCGGAAUUGGUAAGUCAGGGGUG
This 558-nucleotide ribosomal RNA is filed under the name uncultured bacterium. RNAcentral's name for it is "bacterial SSU rRNA". It matches the Rfam family "Bacterial small subunit ribosomal RNA", at positions 45 to 596 of the family's 1533-position model. The record is from RNAcentral.